CUGCCAGUAGUCAUAUGCUUGUCUCAAAGAUUAAGCCAUGCAUGUCUAAGUAUAAACAACUUUAUACUGUGAAACUGCGAACGGCUCAUUAUAUCAGCAAUAAUUUAUUUGAUGGUUCCUUACUACACGGAUAACUGUAGUAAUUCUAGAGCUAAUACGUGCGUAAAAUCCCGACUCUUGCGGGGAGGGAUGUAUUUAUUAGAUAAAAAGCCAGCGCAGGUUCUGCCCGGUUUUGUGGUGAAUCAUAGUAACUUUUCGAAUCGCAUGGCUUCACGCCGGCGAUAGUUCAUUCAAAUUUCUGCCCUAUCAGCUUUCGACGGUAGUGUAGUGGACUACCGUGGCAUUAACGGGUAACGGAGAAUUAGGGUUCGAUUCCGGAGAGGGAGCCUGAGAAACGGCUACCACAUCCAAGGAAGGCAGCAGGCGCGCAAAUUACCCAAUUCUGACACAGAGAGGUAGUGACAAAAAAUAACAAUACCUGGCUUCUUUAGGUCGGGUAAUUGCAAUGAGUACAAUUUAAAUCCCUUAACGAGGAUCAACU
Molecule: ribosomal RNA, 541 nt
Filed under: uncultured microeukaryote
Lineage: Eukaryota
Description: SSU rRNA
Rfam family: Eukaryotic small subunit ribosomal RNA
Source: RNAcentral